AUUCAAACAGGCUACUGCUAUUAAGGAUUGCACAACUUCUGGGCAAGGCAGAGAGGAGACAGAGACGUCAUUGCUUCACCCAGGGCAAGAGGACAAAGGAGGAUGCAUGGAAAUACAAACAGCCCUUCUCCUCCAGGCCAUACCGACUGUCCAACUAGCAACAGACUUCACCUGGUUUUGGAGCAAUCUGAAUUUGGAAUAUGCCAGAGAAAACUUCUAUCAGGCAAGAUGGAAGACUCCUAGGAUAGGUCUCUCUCAUGGAGGGAUUGGCACGAUGGGAGCUGUUGUUGGGACAGGACAAGAGUCCACAUCCCCUGCCCAGUGCCUGGUUCUGGGUCAUGUCACCGAAGCGCAUCAGCCCAUCUGUCAGCCAAACCCCACUAGCCUUGUGCCUUCUCUUCUAAAUCCCCGCGGAGGAAAACAACUUCUGCCUUCUACAGUACGAACAGCGAGGGUCUGCUGGGAACCAAUACAACUUCGCGUCCCAGUGCAGCAAUGUUGCCAGGUAAGGACAGCCCCUGUCCUUCUGUAAGGAAGAGGAAGCGAAGGGAACUUCCCCCAGGCGCUGGUGGGAACAUCUUAGGAGGAAGGAACAUAGAAAUUGGCAAGGACUCGAAGGACGGAUAUGAAAGUGCCGUGAGCCCUGCUGAGCCCCAUGUGUGCCAAAAAUUAAUUCAUAAGCAAAUGCUUAUUUUAUAGUUUCCCACUUGCUACAAAACAUCAAGCCACAAGGAAAUAUUUCUUCUGGGGGCUGACAGGAAGCGGGUGGCACCAGAGUGGGGAGAAAGAAAGCCGGAAGUUCUCUUCAAGACAAGCGUGAUCCUAUCACCUGACAACGUGUCACCCGUUUCUGGAAAAUCCACGGGCUGUGGUACUGUCUCCUUGUUCCCAUAAGCGGAGGGUUCAAUGUGAAGCCUGCUCUGAUGGCAGCCAGGUAGGAGAAGUCUGGGAGUCACGAUCUACCCUCAGAUGUUAUCACCAUUGCAGGAGCCGGGGCAGGAAGAAAAGAUGCUGGGAGACCUGGGGACACCACCCCUGGGAGUCCAUUAUGCCAGACUGGGAAGUAACCUGUAUUUGGCUUCCAGGCAUUUCAGGGCUUUAGGUGAUGAUGUGAUGGAUGACAGGGUUUCAUAAUAAGGGAGCAAACCCUCCAUGAGAGUGCCUAGCAAGCACUGUAUGUCAUUAUUUGUGGAUUCCCAUAAAUUGAAUCCUCUAGGGUCUGGACAAUGAAAUCUAGAAUUUCUGGAGUGCUGUGAUUCCCAGUGAGCUUAUCCUAAGGCAGGACUGAAUUUUCUUACAACAUCCAAAAGGAGAAAGACAAGAGUCAACACUUUUGCAAAGAAGGGAUUUAGUAUCCAGGGAGAUCCAAACUCCUCAACUGCAGAGACAAUGGUGUCUCCCUUUCCUGCAGCUGUAGCAUCCAGCUUGGGGGCCUGGCUGACCCAUGGU
This 1449-nucleotide long non-coding RNA is filed under the name Homo sapiens (human). RNAcentral's name for it is "non-protein coding EGOT:16". The record is from RNAcentral. Lineage: Eukaryota; Metazoa; Chordata; Mammalia; Primates; Hominidae.